GUUGGGCGUGGUGGCAGACACCUAUAGCCCUAGCUAUACAGGAGGCUGAGCAGGAGGAUCACUUAAGUCCAAGAGUCCUGGGCUGCAGUGUGGUAUGCUGAUCAGGUGUCCACACUAAGAUUAGCACCAAUAUGGUGAUCUUCGGGAGCAGGAGAUGACCAGGUUCUUUAAGAAGUGGUGAACCACCUAGGUCAGAAAUCAAACAGGUCAAAACUCUGGUGCUGAUCAGUAGUGGGACCUUGGCUGGAAAGUCACUGCAUUCUUCACUGUAAACUGGACAUCCUAGUUAGACCCUGUCUCU
Molecule: signal recognition particle RNA, 301 nt
Filed under: Castor canadensis (American beaver)
Lineage: Eukaryota; Metazoa; Chordata; Mammalia; Rodentia; Castoridae
Description: Metazoan signal recognition particle RNA (ENSCCNG00000015784.1)
Rfam family: Metazoan signal recognition particle RNA
About the family: The signal recognition particle (SRP) is a universally conserved ribonucleoprotein. It is involved in the co-translational targeting of proteins to membranes.
Source: RNAcentral